Long non-coding RNA from Hydra vulgaris (swiftwater hydra), 2230 nucleotides. RefSeq lists it as uncharacterized. The record is from RefSeq and is a predicted model, not a curated record. NCBI's taxonomy places the organism in Eukaryota, Metazoa, Cnidaria, Hydrozoa, Anthoathecata, Hydridae.
CAAUUUCUUCUUUAGAAAAAGAAGGAUCCAUUUUAAAUUUGAGACAUGCUGCUUUACUAAGUGCUGGUGGAGGAGCCUUGUCGAUUCCAUAAUCAAGAUAAAAACUGAAAUAAACAAAAGGACAUACAGAUUCAAUGACAAACUUCAAAACUCUGUCCAGCACAUGAUAUCAACACAAAAUGUACUGUGGAUAAUCAAACCCCAGGAUGCUUCACUACAAGUUCAUUUUAUGGUAAAUGAAAAGCCUCAUUAUUCAAAGUCUUACAGAAGAAAAUUGAGUAUGAAGUUGUUUUAGCAAAGAUUGGUGAAAAUCGCCUGAUAACAUCAGUUUCGUUCACUAAGAUAGAGAAACUUGUUUGUCACUUUUAUGGGAUUUUGAAAAGAAUGCUACUGGCUGUCCAUUUUGGUUUAAUGUUGCAGCUACUGAAAAAUCAGAUGCACCGGUUUCCACGACAAGCAAGAUUGUUUUAUCAAUUUUUUUUAUGACAGCAUUGGCAAUAUUAUUUUUUAGUAGCGCGAAUGUGUCUCAAGCUUGCUGAUUGAGUGAAAAUUAGAAGUGGGAUUUGAUGUUAGGCGCUUGUAAGAUUAAGAAUACUAAAAAAGUGGUACUUGGACAAUUAAUUGAUCUGAUCGCCUAUUAUAGGUAAAGGAUAAGCAUCACUGUAAGUGAAUUUGUUUAUAGUUUGGGAACAAUCAACACACAUUUGUUUUUUGUGUAGUUUAUUUGUAGUGAUAACGAUUUGUGCCCUCUAAGGUUAUUUGCUUGGUUCUAUAAUUUUGUCAUUUAAUAACUUUUUUAUUUUGGUUCGAAUGAAAAGCUUAUCGACAUGACUGAAUCUUCAAGAUUUAGUUGCAAUCAGAUGACAAUCAAAUGUCUUUGGAGAGAAAUAAUGUUGCCAGAGAUAUUUGAGAUUUCUUUAGACUGCAAACUAACAUAGGGGGUAGUUUUCUACAAAAAGUUAUUGUUAUAUUGCAAUGUUGUUUCAUAAAAGUUUGACCAAGAAUAUCAUAAGCAUAAGUCAGGUAAGAUUGAUAAGGUGACGUCAGUAUACUUUUGAUUUUGAAAAGUCAUAUUCAUAGAUCAUCGAGGUCAUAUUUUAAAAAUCCAGAAAAUUGUUUGGGUUAAAAAAUCGGAAAAAAUGUGGAAUUAAUUUUCUCUUUAUUUCCUCCUAAUAUUUCUUUUGGCUGAGUUGUUUCCAAUUUUUUUUCAAACUUUUCAUAAUUUUUGUAUAAGUGAUGAGUGAAAAAGCUUAAAAAACAAAUAUAUAACAAAAAUAUAUAUCUAAACUUGCAUGUAUGGAAAUUGUUUUGGAUAUCCAGAAGAACUAAAAGUUGAAUAAAACAUUAGGAAUUCAAGAAAUAUCCAGAAAAAGAUAAUCCCUGCAUGUUUACCUUGCAGUAGCCUUUGAUUUUUGUUUUCAGUGACUAGUUUUUAUAUAUAGGAUUUGAUACUUAAUAACAAUGUAUUUGUUGAUAAAAUUGCCAGAGCUUCCAGUAUCUAUUAGUGUAGCAAAACUCUGUCCAUUUACUUCAACCUUUCAAACAGUGUGUGAGAGACAAUUAAAGGCUCCAACAUUUAUUAUUGCAGACAUAUCAUCGGGCUCAAAAACAACUAAUGAUUUAUUCGAUUUACAUACUUUUGAAAAAUGUCCUUGUUUCUGGCAUUUGUGAUAAAUAGUAUAUAUAGCAGGACAAAUGAGUAAAUGGUGAUUGUUUCCACAGAAGUAACACAUUUUCAUGAUUUAUGGUAGCUUAUUUUCUUGCAUUAAGAAAAAAAAUGCAACAAGAAGGAAUUUUUGCAAUAAGAAGCGUACAUUUGAUCUGCUACAUCAACUCCACAGUUAGUUUGGUUUUAAAAAAUUUCUAGAUUUAUUUGCUCUCUAGAUUGAGGGUCAGCAUCAUAAUCAUCGUGUAAACUUGAAACUAGAUUUACGCUUUUUCUUUCACAUGGGAUAUAGGGGACCAAAACUUUGUCAUUAAUAAAAUCAAACAUCCUUGUGUUUGCCUUUCUACCUUUGAAAUUUAUAAAUACAAUUGGCAGCAGUAAGUGCCCAGGGCCCCAGCCCUGGCAAAAUGAGACAUUUUUCAAACCACGUCCCAGCUUAGGCCCCAGUCAAACUAUAAGAUUUAGCAGGGGUUAAUAGCUGGGGCUAUAAAAAAUUACUAGUAAAAAUACUUUAUAUAUUAUAAUUUUAUGCUUACAUUUACUAUUUAUUACAUACUGACAUAU